RNAcentral lists this long non-coding RNA (399 nucleotides) under Nicotiana benthamiana. Its description in RNAcentral is "long non-coding RNA (NBEN_LNC005406)". Lineage: Eukaryota; Viridiplantae; Streptophyta; Magnoliopsida; Solanales; Solanaceae. The record is from RNAcentral.
UAAUCGAUUAUCAUGUUCCAAUAAUCGAUUAUCUUGCUAAUGUAGCAUAACCCCAACUUACAGAAGGUUCUGAUAAUCGAUUAUCACCUCAGAUAAUCAAUUAUCAUUAUCUGAUAAUUGAUUAUUCUGUGUAUCCAGCCCAAACUUGAAAUUACAGAGAGGUUAAAUAAUCGAUUAUCCUUUGGAGAAUAAUCGAUUAUCUAGUUACCGUUGCCAUCCAACGACUAGUUUUUUGAACGUUGAAGUAAGAUAAUCGAUUAUGCAAUUAAGAUAAUCGAUUAUUAUGCCUUUUAAUUCAAAAUUCUUGUCUAACUAUUGAGCAACGGUCACUUGAUCCGUGAGGGCUAUAAAUAGAUCCCAAAACCUCUCAUUUCUACAACAAUUCUUCAACAAUCUAAU